UCCUUUACUUUCUUGGAGGCCAAACACCACACAUUUGCUCCACCCUUACACCACCACCUUAACCCACCAUCUCCACCACCUCCGACCACCUUAUCUCGCCGGAAAAAGGGUCCGGUCGGCCACUCCUUAAAUCCAUCCGAAAAUAACACAAUAGAAGCACCAACUCUAGAUUUUUCUUAAUCUUUUGAAGAAUCAAAGCAUGGGAUUUAUUUUCUUGAUGGAUUAGAGGCUUGUAAUUGGAUUGGAGGAAGGCAUCUCUACACCUCUUGGAAAUUAAUUUGUAGAAUUUCAAAUCUACACUUUUGCUAUUUUUGGAGAUUCAUAGACUUUUGUGUGGCUCGCCUCAACUUGGAAGACUAGAAUUUUUUUGAAGGAUCACAGGUGGGCAUCUUGUGGUUGAGGUUUUGCUUAGGGUCAUUCUAGGAUGUAAGCUUACCCUUUUUUUUUAUGAAGGAG
Camellia sinensis is the source of this 456-nucleotide long non-coding RNA. RefSeq lists it as uncharacterized. Lineage: Eukaryota; Viridiplantae; Streptophyta; Magnoliopsida; Ericales; Theaceae. The record is from RefSeq and is a predicted model, not a curated record.